RNAcentral lists this ribosomal RNA (502 nucleotides) under uncultured bacterium. Its description in RNAcentral is "partial 16S ribosomal RNA". It matches the Rfam family "Bacterial small subunit ribosomal RNA", at positions 28 to 507 of the family's 1533-position model. The record is from RNAcentral.
GACGAACGCUGGCGGCGUGCUUAACACAUGCAAGUCGAACGGUGAAGGGGUCUGCUUUUGUGGGCCCUGGAUGAGUGGCGCACGGGUGAGUAACACGUGAGUAACCUGCCCCCUUCUUCUGGGUAACCGCAUGAAAGUGUGGCUAAUACGGGAUAUUCUGGGUCUGUUGCAUGCUGGGUCUGGUCAGGAUUGCGCCUUUUGGUGUUUUUGGUGGGGGAUGGGCUCGCGGCCUGUCAGCUUGCUGGUGGGGGGAUGGCCUAGCAAGGCGGUGAAGCGUAGCCGGGAUGAGAGGGUGGACGGCCACAAUGGAAACGAGACACAGACUACACUCGUAGGGGAGGCAGCGGUGGAGUAGACUGCGCGAUGGGGGCAAGCCUGGUGCAGCGACGCCGGGUGAGAGAGGGUUCGCUUUGGGUUGUAAUUCUGUUGCGAAAGUAAAGCAGGCCUGUUCCUUGUGGGUGUGUUGACGGUAGCUGGAGAAUAAGCGCCGGCUAACUACGUG